UAGGGAAUCUUCCACAAUGGACGCAAGUCUGAUGGAGCAACGCCGCGUGAGUGAAGAAGGGUUUCGGCUCGUAAAGCUCUGUUGUUGGUGAAGAAGGAUAGAGGUAGUAACUGGCCUUUAUUUGACGGUAAUCAACCAGAAAGUCACGGCUAACUACGUGCCAGCAGCCGCGGUAAUACGUAGGUGGCAAGCGUUGUCCGGAUUUAUUGGGCGUAAAGCGAGCGCAGGCGGAUUGAUAAGUCUGAUGUGAAAGCCUUCGGCUCAACCGAAGAACUGCAUCAGAAACUGUCGAGCUUGAGUACAGAAGAGGAGAGUGGAACUCCAUGUGUAGCGGUGAAAUGCGUAGAUAUAUGGAAGAACACCGGUGGCGAAGGCGGCUCUCUGGUCUGUUACUGACGCUGAGGCUCGAAAGCAUGGGUAGCGAACAGG
Molecule: ribosomal RNA, 429 nt
Filed under: uncultured Lactobacillus sp.
Lineage: Bacteria; Bacillati; Bacillota; Bacilli; Lactobacillales; Lactobacillaceae
Description: bacterial SSU rRNA
Rfam family: Bacterial small subunit ribosomal RNA
Source: RNAcentral